Molecule: unclassified non-coding RNA, 224 nt
Filed under: rhizosphere metagenome
Description: partial ribosomal RNA internal transcribed spacer region
Source: RNAcentral
GUUGGUGAACCAGCGGAGGGAUCAUUACCGAGUUAACAAACUCCCAAACCCUAUGUGAACAUACCUAGUUGCUUCGGCGGUACCGCCCCGGCGCCCUCGGGCCCGGGCCAAGGCGGCCGCCGGGGACCCUACAAACUCUUGCUUCAGCGGGCUCGCCCCGCGGGAAUUAUCUGAGUCAAAAACAAAACAAAUAAAAACUUUCAACAACGGAUCUCUUGGUUCUG